GUUUUAAUAAUUUAAUAAAAAUAAUGGUAUUGUAAACCAAAAAUAUAAUUUACUUUUAAAACA
RNAcentral lists this transfer RNA (63 nucleotides) under Cryptocercus punctulatus (brown-hooded cockroach). RNAcentral describes it as "tRNA-Thr". The record is from RNAcentral. Lineage: Eukaryota; Metazoa; Arthropoda; Insecta; Blattodea; Cryptocercidae.